CCAAUAGCGUAUAUUAAAGUUGUUGCAGUUAAAAAGCUCGUAGUUGAAUUUCGGGAUCAAUAUGUUGGUCGUGCCUUGGUACGUACUGGCAUUAUUGGUUUCUACCUUCUGAAGAACCUCGAUGUCAUUAAUUUGGUGUCUUGGGGAAUCAGGACUGUUACUUUGAAAAAAUUAGAGUGUUUAAAGCAGGCUCGCGCUUGAAUACAUUAGCAUGGAAUAAUGAAAUAGGACGUUUGAUUCUAUUUUGUUGGUUUCUAGGAUCGACGUAAUGAUUAAUAGGGAUAGUUGGGGGCAUUAGUAUUCAAUUGUCAGAGGUGAAAUUCUUGGAUUUAUUGAAGACUAACUACUGCGAAAGCAUUUGCCAAGGAUGUUUUCAUUAAUCAAGAACGAAAGUUAGGGGAUCGAAGACGAUCAGAUACCGUCGUAGUCUUAACCAUAAACUAUGCCGACUAGGGAUCGGAUGAUGUUAAUUUUUUAAUGACUCAUUCGGCGCCUUACG
This 499-nucleotide ribosomal RNA is filed under the name uncultured Glomeromycotina. RNAcentral's name for it is "partial small subunit ribosomal RNA". It matches the Rfam family "Eukaryotic small subunit ribosomal RNA", at positions 591 to 1092 of the family's 1831-position model. The record is from RNAcentral. Lineage: Eukaryota; Fungi; Glomeromycota.